GUAGUCCACGCCGUAAACGAUGUCGACUAGCCGUUGGAGACCUUAGAGUCUUUAGUGGCGCAGCUAACGCACUAAGUCGACCGCCUGGGGAGUACGGCCGCAAGGUUAAAACUCAAAUGAAUUGACGGGGGCCCGCACAGGCAGCGGAGCGUGUGGUUUAAUUCGACGCAACGCGCAGAACCUUACCCAGGUUUGACAUGCCACUGCAAGCCGGUGAAAGCCGGUCGCCUUCGAGGGUGUGGCACAGAUGCUGCAUGGCUGUCGUCAGCUCGUGUCGUGAGAUAUUGGGUUAAG
This 294-nucleotide ribosomal RNA is filed under the name uncultured bacterium. RNAcentral's name for it is "partial 16S ribosomal RNA". It matches the Rfam family "Bacterial small subunit ribosomal RNA", at positions 790 to 1084 of the family's 1533-position model. The record is from RNAcentral.